CCUACGGGAGGCAGCAGUGAGGAAUAUUGGUCAAUGGGCGAGAGCCUGAACCAGCCAAGCAGCGUGAAGGAUGAAUGCCCUACGGGUUGUAAACUUCUUUUAUAAAGGAAUAAAGUGUGGCACGUGUGCCUUUUUGUGUGUACCUUAUGAAUAAGCAUCGGCUAACUCCGUGCCAGCAGCCGCGGUAAUACGGAGGAUCCGAGCGUUAUCCGGAUUUAUUGGGUUUAAAGGGAGCGUAGGUGGGUUGUUAAGUCAGGUGGGAAAGUUUGGGGCUCAACCGUGAAAUUGCAAUUGAUACUGGCAGUCUUGAGUACAGUAGAGGUAGGCGGAAUUCGUGGUGUAGCGGUGAAAUGCUUAGAUAUCACGAAGAACUCCGAUUGCGAAGGCAGCUUACUAGACUGCCACUGACAUUGAUGCACGAAAGUGUGGGUAUCAAACAGGAUUAGAUACCCGUGUAGUC
RNAcentral lists this ribosomal RNA (460 nucleotides) under uncultured bacterium. Its description in RNAcentral is "partial 16S ribosomal RNA". It matches the Rfam family "Bacterial small subunit ribosomal RNA", at positions 338 to 795 of the family's 1533-position model. The record is from RNAcentral.